This 301-nucleotide ribosomal RNA is filed under the name uncultured bacterium. RNAcentral describes it as "partial 16S ribosomal RNA". It matches the Rfam family "Bacterial small subunit ribosomal RNA", at positions 509 to 809 of the family's 1533-position model. The record is from RNAcentral.
CAGCCGCCGCGGUAAUACGAAGGGGGCUAGCGUUGUUCGGAUUUACUGGGCGUAAAGCGCACGUAGGCGGAUCGAUCAGUCAGGGGUGAAAUCCCAGAGCUCAACUCUGGAACUGCCUUUGAUACUGUCGAUCUGGAGUAUGGAAGAGGUGAGUGGAAUUCCGAGUGUAGAGGUGAAAUUCGUUGAUAUUCGGAGGAACACCAGUGGCGAAGGCGGCUCACUGGUCCAUUACUGACGCUGAGGUGCGAAAGCGUGGGGAGCAAACAGGAUUAGAUACCCCCGUAGUCCCUGUCUCUUAUAA